AAUCGCUGUUCGUAUAAAUUUCAUCAAGCUUGCAAUUAUAUAUACAAUUACAUCCGCCUCCAGCAUACAAGCUAUCCAGAAAUCAAACUGCUAUCAUGAUCAAGGUCACAAGGCUACCUGUGGAUAUGAAAGUACUAGGUAUAUGGUAAUAUUUGGAUUAAUCCAAGUUAUAGUGUCUCAAAUUCCUGAUUUUCCGAAUAUGAAGUGGCUCUCCGUAGUUGCUGCUGUCAUGUCCUUCACAUAUUCAAUUAUCGGAUCAGCACUUGGCUUAGCCAAAGUAAUAGAAAAUGGAGAAAUCAAAGGAAGCAUUACAGGACUGCCAAGUUCUACAGCUGCUGAGA
Molecule: unclassified non-coding RNA, 341 nt
Filed under: Hevea brasiliensis (rubber tree)
Lineage: Eukaryota; Viridiplantae; Streptophyta; Magnoliopsida; Malpighiales; Euphorbiaceae
Source: RNAcentral